UACAGAGGGAGCAAGCGUUGUUCGGAAUUACUGGGCGUAAAGGGCGCGUAGGCGGUUCGAUAAGUCCCGUGUGAAAUCCCUCGGCUCAACUGAGGAAUGGCACGGGAAACUGACGGGCUUGAGUUCGGGAGAGGGAAGCGGAAUUCCGGGUGUAGCGGUGAAAUGCGCAGAUAUCAGGAGGAACACCGGUGGCGAAGGCGGGUCUCUGGGCCGAUACUGACGCUGAGGAGCGAAAGCGUGGGGAGCGAACAGG
Molecule: ribosomal RNA, 253 nt
Filed under: uncultured bacterium
Lineage: Bacteria
Description: partial 16S ribosomal RNA
Rfam family: Bacterial small subunit ribosomal RNA
Source: RNAcentral